GAGUUUGAUCAUGGCUCAGGAUGAACGCUGGCGGCGUGCCUAACACAUGCAAGUCGAGCGAGAAUCUCGGGAGCGGAGACUUCGGUUGAAGCAUCCGGGAGGAAAGCGGCGGACGGGUGAGUGACGCGUGGGUAACCUGCCUUUCACACAGGGAUAGCCACCGGAAACGGUGAUUAAUACCUGAUGACAUACUUGAUUCGCAUGAAUGAAGUAUCAAAGAUUUAUCGGUGAAAGAUGGACCCGCGUCUGAUUAGCUGGUUGGUGGGGUAAAGGCCUACCAAGGCGACGAUCAGUAGCCGACCUGAGAGGGCGAACGGCCACACUGGAACUGAGAUACGGUCCAGACUCCUACGGGAGGCAGCAGUGGGGAAUAUUCGGCAAUGGGGGAAACCCUGACCGAGCAACGCCGCGUGAGCGAUGAAGGUCUUCGGAUUGUAAAGCUCUGUUGGAUGGGAAGAUA
Molecule: ribosomal RNA, 460 nt
Filed under: Peptostreptococcaceae bacterium canine oral taxon 051
Lineage: Bacteria; Bacillati; Bacillota; Clostridia; Peptostreptococcales; Peptostreptococcaceae
Description: bacterial SSU rRNA
Rfam family: Bacterial small subunit ribosomal RNA
Source: RNAcentral